AACAAAUAUUAAAGGCAACGCCUGCCCAGUGAAUAAUUAAACGGCCGCGGUACCCUAACCGUGCAAAGGUAGCAUAAUCACUUGUCUAUCAAUUGUAGACCUGUAUGAAAGGCAAAAUGAGGGUCAAGCUGUCUCUUGUAAUAAAUCUAUUAAACUGAUCUCCUGGUAAAAAAGCUAGGAUGAUAACAUAAGACCAGAAGACCCUGUGAAGCUUAAACCAAACUAUUAAACCAAAUAAUAACUACUUUCGGUUGGGGCGACCUUGGAAAUAAAAAGAACUUCCAAAUACCAAUAUUCUAAACAUACAAACAUAUAGGCCAACAAGCCAACAAACGACCCAGCAAAGCUGAUAAAUGAACAAAGUUACUCCAGGGAUAACAGCGCUAUCUUCUUCAAGAGCCCAUAUCAAAAAGAAGGUUUACGACCUCGAUGUUGGAUCAGGACAUCCUAAUGGUGCAACCGCUAUUAAGGGUUCGUUUGUUCAACGAUUAAUGUCCUACGUGAU
Molecule: ribosomal RNA, 505 nt
Filed under: Hebius bitaeniatus (Kutkai keelback)
Lineage: Eukaryota; Metazoa; Chordata; Lepidosauria; Squamata; Natricidae
Description: partial large subunit ribosomal RNA
Rfam family: Bacterial large subunit ribosomal RNA
Source: RNAcentral